GUUAUACCGAGGCGCGUCAAUUGCUGGUUGAAAACUAUUUCCAAACCCCCUCUUUGGCCCUCCGGGGCCACUGAGAAUUUCUGGAAGGGCUCCCUUUCUUCGGAGAGGGCAAGGCCCUACAAAUCAAAUUCAAACUCUUUUUGGCAUCAUUAAACGAAAUGUUAGCCUGAUAGAACUGUAGGUUUUUGUAUGAAAUCGACUGCCUAAAUUUUCCUAGCUCUGUCGUUGGUCAAUCGCGAUCCUCCAAGCUUCGGUUUGGUGUACUCUCCAAGUACCGGUAUUGACCAGCGAUGCUCCGUCGCUCCAAGCUUCGGUUUACCGGUCUUGAGUCCCAGAGUGAAUUACUCAAGGUCUGACCUUCAUUGCUGUACCUGGGUAAAAAGCCUUGAUCUCGUCCUAGCGGUUGGAUCUGGUUGCAACGACGAUAACGACGAUCAGACGUCGUUUCCCUUCAUAGAAGGGUCACCUUUGAAGAACCUCUCUUGUUUUUUAGGGGAUGCCUUAGGGGUGAUUUUGGUGGUUGUUGUGUUUCGUCAACUCGUCAUACUCUUUGGUCCUUAUUUUUUUUGGUCAUUUAUUUUCUUUUCUUUUUUAAUUUUUUGGACCUGUGCAUCCUCAUUGUCUGGCUUUUGCUCUUCUCAGUGUGUUGGUGCAAGAGGCUGGGUGCACUUGAUAUUAAUAUAUUACUCUUUGUCGAAAA
This is a long non-coding RNA of Brachypodium distachyon (stiff brome), 700 nucleotides long. RefSeq lists it as uncharacterized. NCBI's taxonomy places the organism in Eukaryota, Viridiplantae, Streptophyta, Magnoliopsida, Poales, Poaceae. The record is from RefSeq and is a predicted model, not a curated record. The transcript is spliced from 2 exons.